GUAUAUGUAUUAAAUUUAAAGUGAACGGCAAGCAUCAAGCAAUAAAAACACAAAUCAAUAGAAUAUGUUUGCACCAUCAAUACAAUUUUGAGAAUAUUAAGGAUAUGAAGAUUAACUUUGAAGAAUAAUUAAUAAUAAAUCUUGAAGAAUGAGAAUCAUUUUUAAUAAAUAUUAUAUUAUACUAAAAACAUACACUCUGAUAACAUAUGAAUUUGCAUGUAAGUAUAGGAAAAAUAUGGAUACCUAUUAACUCACGUAUUAUGAUUACUCUAUUACAUUAGAAUAUUAUUAACCUACGGUGGAUAGGUAAUAAACAUUUAGGUGCGUACCAAUAUGAUUAUUCUUGUUUUAGCAGAUAGUCAAUUGUAGUAAGUAAUAUAUAGGAAUAGAUGAAUUCCAGGAGAUUAAAGUAAAGAAAUUAUUUACGAUAUGAGUAUUCUCGUUCGAAAAUACUUGUGUGAUUACGUUAGAAGGUUAAUACAGCUGGAACAUAACAAUAAAUAUAGGCGUUUACUUACGUUAUUCGUAGUGACGAUAGAACUUCGUAAAACGACAACGGCGGAAUGGGUACGACACAAAGAAUAUAAUCAACUACACUGACGACUAGGGUAAGUGUCGACGGAUCGAUGAACGGAUGGAAGUAUACGCACGUAUGGAUAGCAAUAUUUGAUACCAGAGGCCCCAGGGCUUCUCAAAUUUGUAUACAACUGUUCCAAACCAAACCUUAUCACGGUUCGGUCCAUAUUCUUAAAUUAUUUGGACCAUAAGAAAUACUCGGACACGAAUUUAUUAUAUUUUAAAUCUAAAGUGAACGGCAAGCAUCAAGCAAUAAAAACACAAAUCACUAGUAUAUGUUCGCAUCUUCAAUAUAAUUUUGAGACUAUUAAGGAUAUUAAGUUUAACUUUGAAGAAUAAUUAAUAAUAAAUCUUGAAGAAUGAGAAUCAUUUUAAUAAAUAUUAUAUUAUACUAAAAACAUACACUCUGAUAACAUAUGAAUUUGCAUGUAAGUAUAGGAAAAAUAUGGAUACCUAUUAACUCACGUAUUAUGAUUACUCUAUUACAUUAGAAUAUUUUUAAACUACGGUGGAUAGGUUAUGAACAUUUAGGUGCGUACCAAUAAGAUUAUUCUUGUUUUAGCAGAUUAUCAAUUGUAGUAAGUAAUAUGAAGGAAUAGAUGAAUUCCAGGAGAUUAAAGUAAAGAAAUUAUUUACGAUAUGAGUAUUCUCGUUCGAAAAUACUUGUGUGAUUACGUUAGAAGGUUAAUACAGCUGGAACAUAACAAUAAAUAUAGGCGUUUACUUACGUUAUUCGUAGUGACGAUAGAACUUCGUAAAACGACAACGGCGGAAUGGGUACGACACAAAGAAUAUAAUCAACUACACUGACGACUAGGGUAAGUGUCGACGGAUCGAUGAACGGAUGGAANGCAAGCAUCAAGCAAUAAAAACACAAAUCACUAGUAUAUGUUCGCAUCUUCAAUAUAAUUUUGAGACUAUUAAGGAUAUUUAGUUUAACUUUGAAGAAUAAUUAAUAAUAAAUCUUGAAGAAUGAGAAUCAUUUUUAAUAAAUAUUAUAUUAUACUAAAAACAUACACUCUGAUAACAUAUGAAUUUGCAUGUAAGUAUAGGAAAAAUAUGGAUACCUAUUAACUCACGUAUUAUGAUUACUCUAUUACAUUAGAAUAUUGUUAACCUACGGUGGAUAGAUAAUGAACAUUUAGGUGCGUACCAAUAUGAUUAUUCUUGUUUUAGCAGAUAGUCAAUUGUAGUAAGUGAUAUAUAGGAAUAGAUGAAUUCCAGGAGAUUAAAGUAAAGAAAUUAUUUACGAUAUGAGUAUUCUCGUUCGAAAAUACUUGUGUGAUUACGUUAGAAGGUUAAUACAGCUGGAACAUAACAAUAAAUAUAGGCGUUUACUUACGUUAUUCGUAGUGACGAUAGAACUUCGUAAAACGACAACGGCGGAAUGGGUACGACACAAAGAAUAUAAUCAACUACACUGACGACUAGGGUAAGUGUCGACGGAUCGAUGAACGGAUGGAAGUAUACGCACGUAUGGAUAGCAAUAUUUGAUACCAGAGGCCCCAGGGCUUCUCAAAUUUGUAUACAACUGUUCCAAACCAAACCUUAUCACGGUUCGGUCCAUGUUCUUAAAUUAUUUGGACCAUAAGAAAUACUCGGACACGAAAUUAUUAUAUUUUAAAUCUAAAGUGAACGGCAAGCAUCAAGCAAUAAAAACACAAAUCAAUAGAAUAUGUUUGCACCAUCAAUAUAAUUUUGAGAUUUUUAAAGAUAUUAAGUUUAACUCUGAAGAAUAGUUAAUAUUAAUUCUUAAUGAUAAGAAACAUGUUUAAUAAAUAUUAUAUUAUACUAAAAACAUACACUCUGAUAUCAUAUGAAUUUGCAUGUAGGUAGAGGAAAAAUAUAGAUAUCUACUUACUCAUGUAUUAUGAAUACUCUAUUAGAUUAAAAUGAAUUAUUAAUAUAAUGUAGGUAGGUAAUGAACAUUUGGAUGCGUUACUUAUAAAAUCAUAAAAUCGUUCUUGUUUUAGCAGUUUAUCAAUUUUCCUAAGUAAUAUGAAGGAAUAGAUGAAAUCCAGGUGAUAAAAUUAAAGAAAUUAAUUUCGAUAUGAUUUUUCUCGUUCGAAAAUACCAAUGUGCUUACGUUAGAAAGUUAAAUCGGCUGAAACUGAACAAUAAAUAUAAGCGUUUACUUACGUUAUUUGUAGUGACGAUAGAACUUCGAAAAACGAAAACGGCGAAAUGGGUACGACCCAAAGAAUAUAAUCAACUACACUGACCACUAGGGUAAGUGUCGACGGAUCGAUGAACGGAUGGAAGUUUACGCACGUAUGGGUAGGAUUUUACUUACGUUAAUAGCGUUGACGAUUGAAUUGUGAUAUACAAACGCUGCGUAAUACAACAUAAAAACAAUAACGGCUAGCAGUUGCAACUAGUCACUAACACUAACAACUUCCAUAAGAAUCAAGCGAUCGAUUAACGGACGUAAAUUGAAUUCUUGGUUACUGGUAACAUAAACAAAACAAUACCGAGAGCAACCACGAUAUAGACGAUUUUAGUGAUUACGUCACGGAGUACAACUGAUAGUGACAACUGUUCCAAACCAAACCAAACCAUAUCUAAGUUCAGUGCAUGGUCAUAGAAUUUUUAGGUUAUAAGAAAUACACGGGUAUGAAUUUAUUAUGUAUUAAAUUUAAAGUGAACGGCAAGCAUCAAGCAAUAAAAACACAAAUCAAUAGAAUAUGUUUGCACCA
This 3272-nucleotide long non-coding RNA is filed under the name Cinara cedri. Lineage: Eukaryota; Metazoa; Arthropoda; Insecta; Hemiptera; Aphididae. The record is from RNAcentral.